AUUGAACGCUGGCGGCAGGCCUAACACAUGCAAGUCGAACGGUAACAGGGAUCAGCUUGCUGAUUCGCUGACGAGUGGCGGACGGGUGAGUAAUGUCUGGGAAACUGCCUGAUGGAGGGGGAUAACUACUGGAAACGGUAGCUAAUACCGCAUAACGUCGCAAGACCAAAGAGGGGGACCUUCGGGCCUCUUGCCAUCGGAUGUGCCCAGAUGGGCUUAGCUAGUAGGUGGGGUAACGGCUCACCUAGGCGACGAUCCCUAGCUGGUCUGAGAGGAUGAACAGCCCAACUGGGACUGAGACACGGGCCCGACUCCUAAGGGGGGGCGGAGGGGGGAAUUUUGGAACAAGGGGGGAAGCCUGAUGGAGCCAAGCCGCGUGGAAGAAAAAGGCCUUUGGGUUGUAAAAGUCUUUUGGGCGGGAAGAAAGGGAUUAAGUUAAAAACCUUGGCUAAUGACCGUUCCCCAAAAAAAAAGCCCGGCUAACCCCGGG
This 490-nucleotide ribosomal RNA is filed under the name uncultured bacterium. RNAcentral describes it as "partial 16S ribosomal RNA". It matches the Rfam family "Bacterial small subunit ribosomal RNA", at positions 29 to 507 of the family's 1533-position model. The record is from RNAcentral.